AACGCGAAAGACUUACCUGGUCUUGACAUCCACAGAACCUGGCAGAGAUGCCGGGGUGCCUUCGGGAACUGUGAGACAGGUGCUGCAUGGCUGUCGUCAGCUCGUGUUGUGAAAUGUUGGGUUAAGUCCCGCAACGAGCGCAACCCUUAUCCUUUGUUGCCAGCGGUUAGGCCGGGAACUCAAAGGAGACUGCCAGUGAUAAACUGGAGGAAGGUGGGGAUGACGUCAAGUCAUCAUGGCCCUUACGACCAGGGCUACACACGUGCUACAAUGGCGCAUACAAAGAGAAGCGACCUCGCGAGAGCAAGCGGACCUCAUAAAGUGCGUCGUAGUCCGGAUUGGAGUCUGCAACUCGACUCCAUGAAGUCGGAAUCGCUAGUAAUCGUGAAUCAGAAUGUCACGGGAAUAC
Molecule: ribosomal RNA, 409 nt
Filed under: Enterobacter sp. PM73
Lineage: Bacteria; Pseudomonadati; Pseudomonadota; Gammaproteobacteria; Enterobacterales; Enterobacteriaceae
Description: bacterial SSU rRNA
Rfam family: Bacterial small subunit ribosomal RNA
Source: RNAcentral